ACGCGAAAGGCCCCUUCGGGGGCCGAGUAGAGUGGCGCACGGGUGAGUAACACGUAGGUAAUCUACCUCUGAGUGGGGAAUAACAGCCGGAAACGGCUGCUAAUACCGCAUAACGCAGCGGCACCACAUGGUGACAGUUGUUAAAGCGGGGGAUCUUCGGACCUCGCGCUUGGAGAGGAGCCUGCGGCGGAUUAGCUAGUUGGUGGGGUAACGGCUCACCAAGGCAACGAUCCGUAGCCGGCCUGAGAGGGCGGUCGGCCACACUGGCACUGACAUACGGGCCAGACUCCUACGGGAGGCAGCAGUCGGGAAUUUUGGGCAAUGGGCGAAAGCCUGACCCAGCAACGCCGCGUGGAGGAUGAAGUUUCUCGGAAUGUAAACUCCGUAAGAAUGGGACGAAUAAGGAGGGGUCAAUACCCCCUCUGAUGACGGUACCAUUCGUAAGCUCCGGCUAACUCCGUGCCAGCAGCCGCGGUAAUACGGGGGGAGCAAGCGUUG
Molecule: ribosomal RNA, 498 nt
Filed under: uncultured bacterium
Lineage: Bacteria
Description: bacterial SSU rRNA
Rfam family: Bacterial small subunit ribosomal RNA
Source: RNAcentral